This 78-nucleotide non-coding RNA is filed under the name unclassified sequences. The record is from RNAcentral.
AAGAAAUCACCACCGGGUGGUUGGCAUGUGUAAAGCUCAUUAGGUCUGAGAAGAGCUUUACAGAUGCCUUUUUUGUUU